CGGGCCAUUGCCCUAGUAACGGCGAGUGAAGCGGCAACAGCUCAAAUUUGAAAUCUGGCUCUCGGGCCCGAGUUGUAAUUUGUAGAGGAUGCUUUUGAUGCGGUGCCUUCCGAGUUCCCUGGAACGGGACGCCAUAGAGGGUGAGAGCCCCGUCUGGUUGGAUGCCAAAUCUCUGUAAAGCUCCUUCGACGAGUCGAGUAGUUUGGGAAUGCUGCUCUAAAUGGGAGGUAUAUGUCUUCUAAAGCUAAAUACCGGCCAGAGACCGAUAGCGCACAAGUAGAGUGAUCGAAAGAUGAAAAGCACUUUGAAAAGAGAGUUAAAAAGUACGUGAAAUUGUUGAAAGGGAAGCGUUUAUGACCAGACUUGGGCUUGGUUAAUCAUCUGGGGUUCUCCCCAGUGCACUUUUCCAGUCCAGGCCAGCAUCAGUUUUCGCCGGGGGAUAAAGGCUUCGGGAAUGUGGCUCUCUCCGGGGAGUGUUAUAGCCCGUUGCGUAAUACCCUGGCGGGGACUGAGGUUCGCGCAUCUGCAAGGAUGCUGGCGUAAUGGUCAUCAACGACCCGUCUUGAAACCAGG
This 573-nucleotide ribosomal RNA is filed under the name Fusarium sp. AL-20 IRH-2012g. RNAcentral describes it as "eukaryotic LSU rRNA". It matches the Rfam family "Eukaryotic large subunit ribosomal RNA", at positions 70 to 664 of the family's 3401-position model. Lineage: Eukaryota; Fungi; Ascomycota; Sordariomycetes; Hypocreales; Nectriaceae. The record is from RNAcentral.